RNAcentral lists this ribosomal RNA (497 nucleotides) under uncultured bacterium. RNAcentral describes it as "partial 16S ribosomal RNA". It matches the Rfam family "Bacterial small subunit ribosomal RNA", at positions 28 to 507 of the family's 1533-position model. The record is from RNAcentral.
GAUGAACGCUGGCGGCGUGCCUAAUACAUGCAAGUCGAGCGAACAGACGAGGAGCUUGCUCCUCUGACGUUAGCGGCGGACGGGUGAGUAACACGUGGAUAACCUACCUAUAAGACUGGGAUAACUUCGGGAAACCGGAGCUAAUACCGGAUAAUAUCUUGAACCGCAUGGUUCAAUAGUGAAAGACGGUUUUGCUGUCACUAAUAGAUGGUUCCGCGCCGCAUUAGCUAGUUGGUACGGUAACGGCUUACCAAGGCAACGAUGCGUAGCCGACGUGAGAGAGUGAUCGGCCACACUGGAACUGGGACACGGUCCAGGCGCCUACGGGAGGCAGCAGUAGGGAAUGUUCCGCAAUGGGCGAAAGCCUGACGGAGCAACGCGGAGUGAGUGAUGAAGGUCUUCGGAUCGUAAAACUCUGUUAUUAGGUGAGAACAAAUGUGUAAGUAACUAUGCACGUCUUGACGGUACCUAAUCAGAAAGCCACGGCUAACUACGUG